This 280-nucleotide unclassified non-coding RNA is filed under the name Epithamnolia sp. Its description in RNAcentral is "partial contains 5.8S ribosomal RNA, internal transcribed spacer 2, and large subunit ribosomal RNA". The stretch from base 1 to 52 matches the Rfam family "5.8S ribosomal RNA", at positions 103 to 154 of the family's 154-position model. RNAcentral also lists the same sequence under 1 other name. Lineage: Eukaryota; Fungi; Ascomycota; Leotiomycetes; Phacidiales. The record is from RNAcentral.
AACGCACCUUGCGCUCCUUGGUAUUCCGAGGAGCAUGCCUGUUUGAGUGUCAUUAAUAUAAUCAACCUUCAACUUGUUUGAGUGGUUUGGAUGUGGGGGUUUGCUGGCCUCUCAAAAGGUUUCAGCUCCUCUGAAAUGCAUUAGCAGAACAAACCUUGUUCAUUGGUGUGAUAACUAUCUACGCUUAUGAAUGUGAGGGGCAGUUCAGCUUUCUAAUCGUCUUUGGACAAUUCAUCAUUAAUGUGACCUCAAAUCAGGUAGGACUACCCGCUGAACUUAA